UACGUAGGUGGCGAGCGUUGUCCGGAUUUACUGGGCGUAAAGGGAGCGUAGGCGGACUUUUAAGUGAGAUGUGAAAUACCCGGGCUCAACUUGGGUGCUGCAUUUCAAACUGGAAGUCUAGAGUGCAGGAGAGGAGAGUGGAAUUCCUAGUGUAGCGGUGAAAUGCGUAGAUAUUAGGAGGAACACCAGUUGCGAAGGCGGCUCUCUGGACUGUAACUGACACUGAGGCACGAAAGCGUGGGGAUCAAACAGGAUUAGAUACCCCCGUA
RNAcentral lists this ribosomal RNA (269 nucleotides) under uncultured prokaryote. RNAcentral describes it as "partial 16S ribosomal RNA". It matches the Rfam family "Bacterial small subunit ribosomal RNA", at positions 524 to 792 of the family's 1533-position model. The record is from RNAcentral.